This is a non-coding RNA of Poecilia reticulata (guppy), 393 nucleotides long. NCBI's taxonomy places the organism in Eukaryota, Metazoa, Chordata, Actinopteri, Cyprinodontiformes, Poeciliidae. The record is from RefSeq and is a predicted model, not a curated record.
GUUUGUUAUCAUUCUUAUAUUUAUAAGUUUAUGUUACUAGUUUAUAUUUAGAGGUUUAGUGUUCAAACUUGUUGAAACUUGGGAGACAAAAUUAAAUCUUCCUUAAUCAAGCAUGUUUGUACAGAUGGUGACUUAGAUCUUCCUGGGAAAGUCCUGAGCUGUAAAACCUAGUAUGUGUUAAUUUAGUUUCUGUGUCUCCCCUCUGUCUGUCUGAAUUCACAUCCUACUGUGAAUUUAGGAUGUGGGUUUCACCCCCUCCAUUCCUGUUCACACCUUUCUCUCUUCUGCUAAUAAAAGAGACAAACAAACUGAAGGUUUUCAGAACGCUCUAUGAACAGCUCGGAGGAGCAAUUGAUAGAGUCUUCUCCUUUGCAAAGUUUGUCAUAAAAUUCA